RNAcentral lists this long non-coding RNA (1089 nucleotides) under Pogona vitticeps (central bearded dragon). RNAcentral describes it as "lncRNA (ENSPVIG00000001310.1)". The record is from RNAcentral. Lineage: Eukaryota; Metazoa; Chordata; Lepidosauria; Squamata; Agamidae.
AUGUCCCAACUGUGUUCCUGCUGCCGCUGCAUUCGGAGACCGAGGAAGGGGGAAAGGGAAGAAUGGGCAGCAAGCAGCGCUCCGCGGGCGGCCGCCUCAGCCCUCCUGGCACAACCACCAGCAUUCGCGGCAGAAGUCGGCAUAGGAAGGGAGCCGCGGAGGCUGCCCCUUGACUCCGCGCUGGGCACCGAGAGAAAGGAGGCGGGGGCUGCAGGCGGGAAAGCCCCCUCCUGGUUAGACCGCAAAGGUUCAAAGUCGCUCCGAACAAGCCAUUUCUGUGGAAGCUGUAUGUGCCUGAAAGAGGAAAAUUGUGUUGCCUUUUCUCUCUCGCCCUCGCCUUUUUCAGUCCCUACCAGGGACGGUUCUGCUGCUCCGGUCAUCUGUGAAUAGGCAACCAGUCCGAGGCAUUUGUUUCGGAUUUAGCAAUGCGGUGUCGAAGAGUCCUGUGUGUUUCGGGGGAGGGUUGAGGAGGUGGCAUGAAAAGGGACGCGGAGGCGGGCACCCCGAUUAUUCCUCUGUAAGGUUCUUCGAAAGUGAGCCCCGUUGAGAUCUCGCUCUCCGCUUGUGCCUGAGGCUUGUAGCCUUCCAGGGACGGGAGGGACCGAGUGACCUUCGGCUCUCCCUCCGGACGGUUGCCGCGCCUCCUGUGGGGCUGCCUCCGCGUCUUCCAGAGAGGCCUUUGCAAAGGAGAGCGAGGGGUGGGGUGGAGGCAGCCCAGCGUUUGGCCGGCGGCAGGGCCCGUUUUAUGCCCGGACGGGGCGCUCCCUCUCUGACCAGGCUCGAGGCCCCCUCGCGGGUCUUUCUUGGCCGGGGUUGAGGGGAGGAAAGAACCGGCGCCGAGGAAACUUUCUUGCCCUCGCCUUUGCGGCUCGCCUGGGCCCCCCCUUUGUGGGGCUCUCAGGGGUAAAACUCUGUGGCAGGGCGGCUCUCUGGUCCCAGGACCCGGGCCGGAGAAGUCAGGGAGCCGCUUCCUCCAGCACCACGGAACUCUUAUCCACAGUCGGGCCUUGUUUUCCCGACAUUUUCUUGAGGGCUACUCCUGGAAUAUUAGACAUUUGCGAGAAAGACUGGGAGUCUGUGUGUGAGAGA